UGAUCCGGUGGUUCCGCAUGGAAGGGCCAUCGCUCAACGGAUAAAAGCUACCCCGGGGAUAACAGGCUUAUCUCCCCCAAGAGUUCACAUCGACGGGGAGGUUUGGCACCUCGAUGUCGGCUCAUCGCAUCCUGGGGCUGUAGUCGGUCCCAAGGGUUGGGCUGUUCGCCCAUUAAAGCGGUACGCGAGCUGGGUUCAGAACGUCGUGAGACAGUUCGGUCCCUAUCCGUCGUGGGCGUAGGAAAUUUGAGAGGAGCUGUCCUUAGUACGAGAGGACCGGGAUGGACAUACCUCUGGUGUACCAGUUGUCGUGCCAACGGCAUAGCUGGGUAGCUAUGUGUGGACGGGAUAAGUGCUGAAAGCAUCUAAGCAUGAAGCCCCCCUCAAGAUGAGAUUUCCCAACUUCGGUUAUAAGAUCCCUCAAAGAUGAUGAGGUUAAUAGGUUCGAGGUGGAAGCAUGGUGACAUGUGGAGCUGACGAAUACUAAUCGAUCGAAGACUUAAUCAA
This 507-nucleotide ribosomal RNA is filed under the name Staphylococcus aureus. RNAcentral's name for it is "partial 23S ribosomal RNA". It matches the Rfam family "Bacterial large subunit ribosomal RNA", at positions 2416 to 2925 of the family's 2925-position model. The record is from RNAcentral. Lineage: Bacteria; Bacillati; Bacillota; Bacilli; Caryophanales; Staphylococcaceae.